RNAcentral lists this ribosomal RNA (253 nucleotides) under uncultured bacterium. RNAcentral describes it as "partial 16S ribosomal RNA". It matches the Rfam family "Bacterial small subunit ribosomal RNA", at positions 524 to 776 of the family's 1533-position model. The record is from RNAcentral.
UACAGAGGUCCCAAGCGUUGUUCGGAUUCAUUGGGCGUAAAGGGUGCGUAGGUGGCGGGGCAAGUUUGGUGUGAAAUCCCGGGGCUCAACCCUGGAACUGCACUGAAUACUGCUUUGCUAGAGUACUGGAGAGGGAACUGGAAUUUACGGUGUAGCAGUGAAAUGCGUAGAUAUCGUAAGGAAGACCAGUGGCGAAGGCGAGUUCCUGGACAGUUACUGACACUGAGGCACGAAGGCCAGGGGAGCAAACGGG